Molecule: ribosomal RNA, 425 nt
Filed under: uncultured bacterium
Lineage: Bacteria
Description: partial 16S ribosomal RNA
Rfam family: Bacterial small subunit ribosomal RNA
Source: RNAcentral
GUGGGGAAUCUUGCGCAAUGGGCGAAAGCCUGACGCAGCCAUGCCGCGUGGAUGAUGAAGGUCUUAGGAUUGUAAAAUCCUUUCACCGGGGACGAUAAUGACGGUACCCGGAGAAGAAGCCCCGGCUAACUUCGUGCCAGCAGCCGCGGUAAUACGAAGGGGGCUAGCGUUGCUCGGAAUUACUGGGCGUAAAGGGCGCGUAGGCGGAUCGUUAAGUCAGGGGUGAAAUCCCAGAGCUCAACUCUGGAACUGCCCUUGAUACUGGCGAUCUUGAGUGUGAGAGAGGUAUGUGGAACUCCGAGUGUAGAGGUGAAAUUCGUAGAUAUUCGGAAGAACACCAGUGGCGAAGGCGACAUACUGGCUCAUUACUGACGCUGAGGCGCGAAAGCGUGGGGAGCAAACAGGAUUAGAUACCCUGGUAGUCC